CCGCCGCUCCGAUGACGCCGUACCCUCGCAGUGACCCGCACGCCGAACCCCAACGUCGCCGCCUCCACCUCCUCCGUCCUACAGCACCGCCCCUCCGCCCCUACUGCGCCGCCGCCUCCUCAGUCUGCCCUACGGCACCUCCUCCUCGGCCUUGGGGCUGCCAGCUUGAGCGACGAGGGCGCCGGAGUGAUGCCCUCCGUCCUACAGCGCCGCCCCCUCCGCCCCUACCACGUCGUCUCCUCCAUAGUCCGCCCCUACCGCACCUCCUCCUCGGGCUCGGGGCUGCCAGCUUGAGCGGCGUGGGCGGCGGCGCGGUGCCCUGCUCCAGAGAUCCAUCCCUCGAGCACCGAACCCCUCGUUGCUAGUCUCGCUCUCGCCUGCCUCUCUGCGCGGUGUAUACCGCUUCCACCUCCCACGCUUCCUCCGCGCCACCUCUAUCUGUGCAGCGACAAACCCAGAGAUCAUCGUCCCGCCCGCUGGCGAAAGGUGCUCCCUCUUGGCUGCCUGCGAUGCAGAGGAUACUAUCGAGGGCCGCUCGCCGGUGCACGAAUUCCUCGCCGGCAUUCAAAUCCCCUCAUGCGCAGGCCAAUGCAGCAAGUAUUCACUCUGAAGACGCCCCAACUUGUUCAAACAUGAUUACAGAGUAUGAUGAUUUUACAUGGAAGACUAGUUUUGUUAGACCCAUGCAAUCAGAAGUUGUCAAUGCUCUCCGUAGAGGUGACCGGCAGCGAGCAUCAAUGCUUCUUUCGAACUUUCAUCACACUAAAGAAGCACUAACCAAGGAAGAUUUUUCUUAUAUAUUGGAGUAUUGUGCAGAGGCACCUGAUCCUUUGCUUUUCCAAUAUUUCCAGUUUGUUAUGGAAACUUUGGAACUCAUGGAGGAGAAGGCCAUUGGCAUGAGUAAAAGUAUCUACAGAUAUGUCAUUAGAGCUCUGAGCAGAGGGGGAUAUGCGAGGGAGGCACUUCACUGGCUGGCUGUUCUCGGGGAGAAAGAAAGCACUCAUGCCACUAUACCAAUUUUUAAUAUCUUUCUAAACGCCUUUGGAAGUAGAGCAGAUCUGAAGGAUGCUGAAUGCUGUCUUGAGAUACUGGAAAGUCUUUUUCUUGGGAAGUCUGAAAUAACAUACUGUGAGCUUUUGAAGCUUGCAGUGUUACAGGGAAAUUUGCCUGCAGCUUAUGAUAUCUGGAAGGACUGCUCUAGGUAUUAUAGCCCAAGCAUUAUCACACAAAGGAGAUUUAUAAGGGCUUUAACUGCACUAGGUGACCUUCAAUCUGCAUAUCACAUCUUGCAGCAUAUGGUAGUCCUUGCCGCACGAAGCUCUGACUAUCUGAGGGUGUCUUCUAAAAGAAGAUACCAAUCAUCAAGACUAGACAUUCCUGUACCUGCUUUGAAUGAAUUUGAAGAUCUCACCCUUCCAUCAUGUCAAGGGAAGCUGGCUACUGGCGAACAUUUGGUUGAUGCUCAGCCUGAGCUAUUUGAGGAGAAAACUCAGUCAGGCAAUAAUCUUUCUUAUAAAGGAGUAGAUGGUGCUGCAAAUACAUUGAAGUCUGCACCAAAUGCAGUAAAACAAAUUUUGAGAUGGGCGUUCAACGAUGUUUUGCAUGCAUGUGUACAGUUUAACAACUGUCAGUUAGCUGAGCAUUUAUUUACAGAGAUGCAAAAAAUUGGAUUGCAACCAUCAAGUUUUACAUAUGACGGCUUUGUUAAGAUUGUGAUAGCUGGGAAAGGAAUUGCAUAUGCCAACAAAGUGAUUAAAGCCAUGGAGAGAAGAGGCAUUGGACUUUACAGUGAUACACUUGCUGCUCUCUCAGUAGGUCAUAGCAAUAGUUCACAGUUGGAUUUGGCUGAGGAACUUUUGGAAAGAAUUUCAGAGAUAAAACCGAAGCAUAUACAUGCCAUCAAUGCUUUGCUUUCUGGAUGUGCGAUUAUGAAUGAACCAGAAAGAGCUGUGCGCAUACUAGCUAAAAUGAAACAUGUGAACAUGAAGCCAACUCUCAGGACAUAUGAACUUUUGUUUUCUCUGUUUGGAUAUGUAAAUGUUCCUUAUGAAGAAGGAAAUGUGCUCUCUCAUGUUGAUGUUUCCAAAAGGAUAAGUAUCAUUGAGAUGGACAUGUUUAACAAUGGAAUCCAACACAGCUUUGUGUCUAUGAAGAACUUGAUACGAGCUUUUGGAUCUGAGGGGAUGAUAGAGGAAAUGCUGAGGUACCUGAAUAUAGCAGAAAAUAUUUUGUGGAACAUAAAUCCUUAUCAGAAGAGUGAUCUAUACAGCAUUGCGUUGCAUGCUCUGGUUGAUGCGAAGGAAACUCACAGAGCAGUAAUGAUCUUCAAAAUCAUGAGAUCAUGCAGCCUUCCAACUAAUAUUUUAAUUUAUAAUACCAUGAUAGAGUGCUGCAAAUGGCUGCCAUGUUUCAAAUCAGCUAGUGCUUUGCUGUCUUUGAUGCUCCGGGAUGGCUUCAAUCCUACGGUUGUGACUUUUACAUCACUCCUGAAGAUAGGUUGUAUUAGCAAAUGAUGAUUUUGAAUGGGCUCUGGAUCUGCUUGAUAUAUGCAAGAUUGAAGGACUUCAGCCUGACAUACAGAUUUUCAACACAGUACUCUCACAUGCAUAUGCUAGAGGUAAAAUUCAUGUCCUUGAAUAUAUUGUGGAGUGUAUACACCGAGCAAAAAUCCAACCUGACCCAUCAACACUUUGGUACACAUUUUGUGCCUAUGAGGAACAUGAACUGUACAACACUGCAAUUGAGGCAUUGCUAGUCCUCAGCAUGAGAAUGAUAUCUGAGGAUGUCAGCAUUCUUAGUGAGAAAAGAAUUGUUUUUGAAGAUCUAAUCCUCAGUGAAGAGCCUGAUGCUGAAUUGAGAAUCAUAAGGGCAUUCCAAGCAGGUGAAGAAUUUUUCGCGACGGCUUUACUGAACCUAAGAUGGUGUGCCACAAUGGGCGCCACCAUAUCUUGGUCACCAGAGGAGAGUCUUUGGGCAAGGAGGCUGGCAUCCUCGUAUGAUGCUAACAAGAGACCACAUAUAAACCCCUCGGAUGUUCCUAAAUCUUGGAGAAGGAACCAACUUAACCACCCGUAUUGGAAAGCUUACUGAAACAGCAGAUUCAUUGGUCUCUGUCUAGUGGCUCACAGGAUGAAGGCAAAUCUCCCUGUUGUCUAUGAUAACAUUGUUGUGUUCUGUUUUGCUGGUUAACAUGAUUGCAGUGCGAUCGGGCCUCCCUACCUAUCGUGAAGCUUGAUCAUGAAACAUGCAGCGGUUUAUCAUUUCCUUCCCUUCCGCAAGGGGCUGACCUAAUGGCCUUGUUGUACCGUUUUCAGGCUUCUAGGCCAACAGCUCUAUGAUCCAAUUCUUUUAUAUUACUUGAUAGGUUGCUCACUUGAUUGUACGGGCUGUUAGGAGCAUUAGCUUUGCAAAAUUUGUAGGAAUGUAUAUGAUGGUGGCGAAGGUCAAGUCACAUGGCAGUGACAGAAGAAUUAGAGGUGUUACAAGUUACAAUAGCUGGAACCCAAAACUUGUUGUGGUUAAUUUGAUGGUGUUUGGAUUUUGGAACGAUGAUGUUAUAAUUGCAAUUUAUUGUGACAAAGGUAGAUUGUAGAAGGAUGGCGAUGCAUCUGGUAUCACUGAUUGACCUGUUACCGCGUGGUACUGGGUUGGUCUUUGUUGUACUCUGGCAGGUCGUUUCGUUGACUUUGUAGCUGCUCGAAUAACAGCCAUCUGUAAGAUCAUUUGUCUAUCAUAAUUAUCAUCCACUUGGUUUUCCUCCUUUC
Sorghum bicolor (sorghum) is the source of this 3764-nucleotide RNA transcript. It is a transcript of the gene named pentatricopeptide repeat-containing protein At1g76280, with no coding region annotated. The record is from RefSeq and is a predicted model, not a curated record. NCBI's taxonomy places the organism in Eukaryota, Viridiplantae, Streptophyta, Magnoliopsida, Poales, Poaceae. The transcript has 15 exons.